GUGGGGGAUAUUGCACAAUGGGCGAAAGCCUGAUGCAGCGACGCCGCGUGAGUGAAGAAGUAUUUCGGUAUGUAAAGCUCUAUCAGCAGGGAAGAAAGGCUCGUAAGAGAGAUGACGGUACCUGACUAAGAAGCCCCGGCUAACUACGUGCCAGCAGCCGCGGUAAUACGUAGGGGGCAAGCGUUAUCCGGAUUUACUGGGUGUAAAGGGAGCGCAGACGGCUAUGCAAGUCUGAAGUGAAACCCCACGGCUCAACCGUGGGCUUGCUUUGGAAACUGUAUAGCUAGAGUACUGGAGAGGUAAGCGGAAUUCCUAGUGUAGCGGUGAAAUGCGUAGAUAUUAGGAGGAACAUCGGUGGCGAAGGCGGCUUACUGGACAGCAACUGACGUUGAGGCUCGAAGGCGUGGGGAGCAAACAGG
RNAcentral lists this ribosomal RNA (419 nucleotides) under uncultured rumen bacterium. Its description in RNAcentral is "bacterial SSU rRNA". It matches the Rfam family "Bacterial small subunit ribosomal RNA", at positions 354 to 776 of the family's 1533-position model. The record is from RNAcentral.